Molecule: ribosomal RNA, 143 nt
Filed under: Serratia marcescens
Lineage: Bacteria; Pseudomonadati; Pseudomonadota; Gammaproteobacteria; Enterobacterales; Yersiniaceae
Description: partial 23S ribosomal RNA
Rfam family: Bacterial large subunit ribosomal RNA (bases 1-125)
Source: RNAcentral
GAGUCUUCCCUGGGCCUUUAAGGUCCCUGAAGGAACGUUUAAGACUAAGACGUUGAUAGGCUGGGUGUGUAAGUGCAGCGAUGCAUUGAGCUAACCAGUACUAAUGAUCCGUGAGGCUUAACCUUACAACACCGAAGGUGUUU